RNAcentral lists this unclassified non-coding RNA (351 nucleotides) under fungal sp. RNAcentral's name for it is "partial internal transcribed spacer region". The stretch from base 1 to 46 matches the Rfam family "Eukaryotic small subunit ribosomal RNA", at positions 1786 to 1831 of the family's 1831-position model. The record is from RNAcentral. Lineage: Eukaryota; Fungi.
AAGUCGUAACAAGGUUUCCGUAGGUGAACCUGCGGAAGGAUCAUUAACACGUAUCCAACGUUAAACAACCCUGUGAACUUUCAACCGCUCUUGUAGCCCACGCGGAACAGCAAUCCCGGUAAAUCAAUUGGAGAAAAGGUUUUGAUUCGGGACCUCUGUCCAUCAGGCUACAAUAUGGUUUCCCUAAGCAGGAUCCACUGAGUAAGGAUAACGGUUGCCAGAGGUCGAUCACCGGCCGGCAGACAUGUCACAGGGCUAUAUGCCCCCUCAUUCACACCUUGCCCUAUCUGGCCCCACGGAAACGUUGGGGCACAAACCGAACAACUGUUAACAAUGGAUAUCUUGGUUCUC